RNAcentral lists this microRNA precursor (70 nucleotides) under Myotis lucifugus (little brown bat). RNAcentral's name for it is "mir-9193 microRNA precursor family". It matches the Rfam family "mir-9193 microRNA precursor family". Lineage: Eukaryota; Metazoa; Chordata; Mammalia; Chiroptera; Vespertilionidae. The record is from Rfam by way of RNAcentral.
CUUGGGGGGGAUCCCUCAGCCUGGAUUGUGAGAGAGUGCAGACCAGGCCGAGGGACCCCACUGGUGCACG